UAAGGAAUAUUGCGCAAUGGGCGAAAGCCUGACGCAGCGACGCCGCGUGGGGGAUGAAGGUCUUCGGAUUGUAAACCCCUUUCGGGAGGGAAGAUGGAAUGGGGUAACCCAUUCGGACGGUACCUCCAGAAGCAGCCACGGCUAACUUCGUGCCAGCAGCCGCGGUAAUACGAAGGUGGCAAGCGUUAUUCGGAUUUACUGGGCGUACAGGGAGCGUAGGCGGUUCGGUAAGCCCUCUGUGAAAUCUUCAGGCUUAACCUGGAAAAGUCGGAGGGGACUGCUGGGCUAGAGGACGGGAGAGGAGCGCGGAAUUCCCGGUGUAGCGGUGAAAUGCGUAGAGAUCGGGAGGAAGGCCGGUGGCGAAGGCGGCGCUCUGGAACGUUUCUGACGCUGAGGCUCGAAAGCGUGGGGAGCAAACAGGAUUAGAUACCCAAGUAGUCCCUGAGCGGGCUGGCAAGGCGCAU
This 464-nucleotide ribosomal RNA is filed under the name uncultured bacterium. RNAcentral's name for it is "bacterial SSU rRNA". It matches the Rfam family "Bacterial small subunit ribosomal RNA", at positions 355 to 825 of the family's 1533-position model. The record is from RNAcentral.